Molecule: long non-coding RNA, 1471 nt
Filed under: Homo sapiens (human)
Lineage: Eukaryota; Metazoa; Chordata; Mammalia; Primates; Hominidae
Description: novel transcript
Source: RNAcentral
AUCGUAAAGUGGAAAAAUAUAGGUCAAGCCAUCGUAAGUCAAGGAAUGUUGGUAUAUCGUAAUGGUGUACAUGAUAUUUUGAAAUAUGUAUACUUUAAUAGCUAUAGUGAGCUAAUUAACAUAUGAAUUGCCUCACAUUCUUAUCAUUUAUUUGUGGUGAGUAGAUAUAAAAUCUACUCUUUUAGCAAUUUUUAAGUAUGCAAUACACUAUUGGAAGGGUCUCUGGCUAAGUUAGUUUUCUUUCUGAACGGACAUUUCUCACUAACAAGUGCAGAAAUUCCCUGUGAACAGGGGAAGCGGUAAUGCUGACAACAAAACUCAGAUGUAAAUUUAGAAUAAAAAAGGGCUCAUGGUUGACUGCUUUGGGCUAUACUUCCAUAAUCUCUCAAAAAAAAAGUAAGGUAUUGUCCUCUGGAGUAUUUUGAUGGAAAAUUUUAGGAAGACUUGAUAAUCUGUAAAAGUUGUAGGCUUGAGAUCCUAAAAGAUCUGUAUCUAAAUUCAUGUAUUCUACAGAAGUUUACUUAAUUACUCCAGGUUUAUUUUUCCUUACUUGUGAGGUAAAUGUUGUAAUACACAUCUACCUCACAAAGGUGUUGUGAGAAUUCAAUGAUAUGUUAUUUAUAAAGAAAGUAUUGAUUACCUUCCUUCUGUCCCAGUGAUAGAUCACAACAAGAGAUCAUGAAGAGGGCAUGGCCGCCAUGUCAUUCUGGAGAGAGACAGAGUAAAACAAAGAAGGUGAUGGCAGCCUCUCUACAAGUCUCCUAACUUAACCUGAUGGGAAAACACUUCCUACCACUAACAGCAUCUACUUGAUUACUGAUACUUUGAUCAUGGAGUUUGGGCAUGCCACUUGAUAGAAAUUUGAAGAGCAAUUAUAUUUUUCAAAAAGAGUUUUGAAUAAUGUUAAGAUAGAUUGCAACAUGACUAUCAAUUCUUCCCUUCCCAUCAAAGGAGAGAGUCCGUUUAUCCAGCCUUUGAAUCUUGAUUAUUCAUGUGACUUGCUUCACCCAAUGUAACAUUAAUAAGCACAAUACAAGCAGAGGCUUGCCAAGAACUUGGUUUGUUUCUAAUGCUUAGAAGAAGAAUGGUGUAUGCCAUAUUUCUGCAUUUAGAACUCACGUGGAGACAUGUGUGGCCCAAUUGCUUCUCUUUCAUCUCAGGCAAUAACCAGACACGGGACUGAGGCCAUCCAUGACCAGCCAGCCCUAGCCAACACACAACACACAAGCUGAUCACAGAUGCAUGAGUAAGCCUGAGACCAGCCAAGACCAGCCUAGAAUAGAACUGCUCAGCAGCAAUAAAAACUAAAUAAAUUGUUACCUUAAGCUACUUUUAGAGCUAUUUGGAAGUGUAUUUUUGUGCAGCUAACAUUUACUAGCAGAUAAAAUGGUGAUUGUUUAUCUCUGUUUUAUUGAUGUUUUAAGGAAAUUGUUUCUAUUAAAAGGAAAUAUCUGGUCUUUGUCACGUUAAA